This 200-nucleotide unclassified non-coding RNA is filed under the name Humicola sp. RNAcentral describes it as "partial internal transcribed spacer 2". Lineage: Eukaryota; Fungi; Ascomycota; Sordariomycetes; Sordariales; Chaetomiaceae. The record is from RNAcentral.
UUAAGUUCAGCGGGUAUUCCUACCUGAUCCGAGGUCAACCUUGGGUAAAUAAGGCUUUUAACGGCCGGAACCCGCAGCACGCCCUGAGCGAGAUGUAUUACUACGCUCGGAGUGACUAGCGAGCCCGCCACUGGUUUUCAGGGCCUACGCUGGACGCGUAGAGCCCCAACACCAAGCAGUGCUUGAGGGUUGAAAUGACG